CGUUUAUAUUCCACUGCACUUACAGUCUCAACCAGGGGUUUAGUAAGGCGUUGAUAUAUUUUUUGUGUGACAUUUUAAAGCUGCCACAAUAUGUGUAUUGUACUGUAGCUACCUACCUCUGCGUAAUCUAUUUGUGGCAUAUGUUAAUUGUGAUAGUCACCCCGAAAAGUCCUUAACCCUAAUUCAACAGGCGUUUUCUCUGGGUGAGGGCAUGAUGACAGAUUUCAGUUGUGUCUGCCUUUAUACCUCUGCCAUUAAUUACAUUGAGUGAGCUUAAAGAGAUCUCCCGGGAACUUUUGUAUACUUUUUUUGCCAGUAGUUCUAAAAUUAGACCCCAUGAGCCAAAAGUGGUCCCCGAAAAUUGCGUACUAUAUGCACCACGUGCUUACUCGCUCUCUCUCGCUGCUCUGUGUACAUGUGCAUGGAGUUUCCACUGAGCCGUUAGGCCUGCCCUGCAACCUCAUUGGAUAAUGCUGGGCAGGCCUGGGCCAGCCUUCUUUUUUCACUGUGCAACCUCAUUGGACCUGAUCACAUGAUAGUGCCUUCAUUGGAAAAAACAAAUGUCAUGCAUGUAUCUCUCUCACGCACUCACUCACUCCCUCAAGCCAGCCAUAGAGGAAGGUUACUUCAGUCAUAAUUGUGCGAAAAAACUUGAAUGCUAUUGAUACUUAUGAUGUCAGGCCUAAGAAGAGAAAACUAGAUCUAGAUGUGAAAGACAAAGGCAGAAGGCAAAAUAAUAGAUAUUGGAUGCUUUUCCGAGAUGGCCUCAAGGAAGAGAAACACUGUUGCCUCAUCCAGUGUUGGACAUCCAUAAAAGUAAUCUUCGGGCGAAAGACAAGAAUUACUGAUAGAAGAACAAGGAAUAGCAGAGCUGGUUUCAGACAUGCCAGAUGAUCAAACAUGCAAGAGGCUCUUGGCGACAGGAGAUGGACAUCAGCAGGCCCACAUCCACCACACCUUGACCUUCCUGUGGCCUUGGCAAUCCCCUUACCACACUGGAGUUGCAAUAACCAAGCAAGAAACAUAUUACUAUUCACCCAGACUACUACUGUUAUUUUUCUGGAACUUUCUUUUCAAAAAACAACCAGUGGAUUUCUGAACUUUACACAACUCAUAAAUUCACACAUAAACAAAUGUCAACAUGGAUUUUCAUAACACACCUAGACCUACCUAUAAAGCUAUGGCUGCAGUAAGCUCUAAUAACCUUGUCAAUUAUUUAUACACAUUUUUAAAGGCCAAUCAUAUGAUUAUGGCUUGCUUCCAAUAAGAAAACACACAACACAUAUUAUUCUUAUACAAUUCCUGUGUUUCUUACAUAUGUGACAAUAUAUACUGCCACCGUGUAGUUCUGUAUUUUGUGUAUGAAUGUGGCCUACUUCAUAUAAGACAUAUAGUCCACUUAUAUUAGUUACAUGUUUCCGCAGUACCCAUAUAAGAAUACUUUUGAUUCAUAGAGACCCUUUCGAAAGUACCAUACGUGGCAGAGUUAUACAGGUGUAAUAGGAUGGGCUAUUGUGCUAGAAAAUGUUUAAUAGGUUACUGGAAUUAUAUUGAAUAUUGUUUAUUCAUGCUAUCAAGUAUCCCUGCAUUAGAGUGGGAAAGAGAGUUAUGUUCAGAAGUGAUGCAUUUUUAUAAUGAAUUAGUCCUAUGAAAUAUCCAUUGACAUUUUGCAUGCUGAGCGCUAUUGCAAAUGCACCUCAUACCUCGUAUCAUUUGCUCCCUCAUUCUCUCGGUCCUCGGCCCUAGAGCAUCUAUUCCAGCCCUCGCUGCUCGACUUGGACCCUGGGCAGCUCGAGCCUGGCCCUGGGGUACACGCACCUUGUACAACCUGUCCUUGUCCUCCUCUCAUCUGUGGACCAUGUCCUCUUCCUCGGCUAGUCUGAUGACGAGCAACACAUUGUAUACAUUUAUUGUCAAUAUGGGAAGCUUCUAAUAGUCUUGUGGUUUUUAGAUUUCAUAUGUUAAUGGUAAGUAAUAAAAAGUAAUUACUGAAGUUAUGAAUGGGUACUGCUAAUCCUGUAGCUUUAUUAGUAUGACAUUUUCAUUAGCUACAUAUCCACUAUGUGGAGUACUAUGAAGUAUAGCUAGCGAUAGCCAGAGCCUUUUUUUUCCUGUUUCAAAAUACAUGGCUCAAUAUAUGGCUCUAGCUGUAACUAACAAACUAGCCUAGCUCGA
Oncorhynchus nerka (sockeye salmon) is the source of this 2175-nucleotide long non-coding RNA. RefSeq lists it as uncharacterized. The record is from RefSeq and is a predicted model, not a curated record. The transcript is spliced from 3 exons. Lineage: Eukaryota; Metazoa; Chordata; Actinopteri; Salmoniformes; Salmonidae.